Molecule: ribosomal RNA, 2460 nt
Filed under: Triticum aestivum (bread wheat)
Lineage: Eukaryota; Viridiplantae; Streptophyta; Magnoliopsida; Poales; Poaceae
Description: partial small subunit ribosomal RNA
Source: RNAcentral
AUGUACGUCGUGAAGCGGGACGGGCGGACGGAGACGGUGCACUUCGACAAGAUCACGGCGCGGCUCAAGAAGCUCAGCUACGGGCUCAGCCAGGAGCACUGCGACCCGGUGCUGGUCGCGCAGAAGGUCUGCGCGGGGGUAUACAAGGGCGUCACCACCAGCCAGCUCGACGAGCUCGCCGCCGAGACCGCCGCCGCGCUCACUGCCUCCCACCCCGACUAUGCCUCCCUCGCGGCGAGGAUUGCGGUGUCCAACCUCCACAAGAACACCAAGAAGUCCUUCUCCGAGACGAUUAAGGACAUGUACCUGCACUACAACGAGAGAUCUGGGCUGCUGUCUCCGCUGAUUGCCGAGGAUAUCUACGAAGUCAUCAUGAAGAACGCUGCUCGCUUGGACAGCGAGAUAAUUUACGACAGGGACUUUGAUUAUGACUACUUCGGUUUCAAGACUCUGGAGAGGUCUUACCUCCUGAAGCUCGGUGGAGUUGUUGUUGAAAGGCCGCAGCACAUGUUAAUGAGAGUUUCAGUAGGGAUCCACAAGGAUGACAUUGACUCUGCCAUCAGAACUUACCAUCUCAUGUCCCAGCGCUGGUUUACUCAUGCUUCGCCAACCCUUUUCAAUGCUGGCACCCCGAGACCUCAGUUGAGCAGCUGUUUCCUUAUCUGCAUGAAAGAUGAUAGCAUCGAGGGAAUCUAUGAUACUCUGAAGGAAUGUGCUGUCAUCAGCAAAUCUGCUGGAGGGAUUGGCGUCUCUGUUCACAACAUUCGUGCUACUGGGAGUUACAUCCGAGGAACAAAUGGAACAUCCAAUGGAAUUGUUCCUAUGUUACGUGUCUUCAAUGAUACUGCUCGUUAUGUAGAUCAAGGUGGAGGCAAGAGAAAGGGUGCUUUUGCUGUAUACCUGGAGCCCUGGCAUGCUGAUAUUUUCGAGUUCCUUGAUUUGAGGAAGAACCAUGGGAAGGAGGAGAACCGCGCAAGGGAUCUUUUCUUUGCUCUCUGGGUUCCUGAUCUAUUCAUGCAAAGAGUACAAAAUAAUGAGGAUUGGUCCCUGUUUUGUCCAAAUGAAGCUCCGGGGUUGGCUGAUUGCUGGGGUGAGAAGUUUGAGGAAUUGUACAAGAAAUAUGAGAAAGCAGGCAAAGCAAAAAAGGUUAUUCCAGCACAGACCCUCUGGUUUGACAUUUUGAAGGCACAGAUAGAAACUGGCACACCUUAUAUGCUCUAUAAGGAUUCAUGCAAUAGGAAAAGUAACCAGCAGAAUCUGGGCACAAUCAAAUCUUCAAACUUGUGCACUGAGAUAAUUGAGUUCACAAGUCCUGAGGAAACUGCUGUCUGCAACCUAGCAUCUAUUGCUUUACCACGUUUUGUAAGGGAAAAGGGUGUCCCAAUAGAGUCCCAUCCAUCUAAGCUUGCUGGUAGCAAUGGAUCAAAAAAUAGAUACUUUGACUUUGACAAGCUAGGCGAGGUUACUUCAACUGUUACUUUCAAUCUAAACAAAAUAAUCGAUAUGAAUUAUUAUCCGGUUGAAACUGCAAGGAGGUCUAAUAUGCGACACAGGCCAAUUGGUAUUGGGGUUCAGGGCUUGGCAGACACAUUCAUGUUACUUGGCAUGGCAUUUGAUUCACCUGAGGCUCAGCAAUUGAAUAGGGAUAUUUUUGAAACUAUUUACUACCAUGCUCUGAAAGCUUCUGCUGAACUGGCGGCUAAAGAAGGCCCUUAUGAAACAUAUGAAGGGAGCCCUGUCAGCAAGGGUAUUAUCCAACCUGACAUGUGGAAUGUAGUGCCAUCGACCAGAUGGAACUGGCCAACUUUGAGGGAAACUAUUUCCAAAGUUGGAGUAAGAAACUCUCUUCUGGUGGCUCCAAUGCCCACAGCUUCCACUAGUCAGAUUCUUGGCAACAAUGAGUGCUUUGAACCCUACACAUCUAACAUAUACAGUCGGCGGGUUCUAAGUGGGGAGUUUGUUGUGGUUAACAAGCAUCUUCUCCAUGACUUGACUGAGAUGGGUAUCUGGACACCUGCUCUGAAAAAUAAGAUAAUUUAUGAAGAUGGUUCUAUUCAGAAGAUGGAAGAAAUCCCUGAUGAUCUUAAAGCAAUUUACAAGACUGUUUGGGAGAUUAAGCAGAAAACUCUGGUUGACAUGGCUGUUGAUCGUGGAUGCUACAUCGACCAGAGCCAGAGCCUUAAUGUCCACAUGGAUCAACCAAACUUUGCAAAGCUAACUUCGUUGCAUUUCCAUGCUUGGUCCAAGGGCCUGAAAACUGGGAUGUACUAUUUGAGAACAAGGGCAGCUGCUGAUGCAAUCAAGUUUACUGUGGAUACUGGCUUUCUGAAGGUCAAUGGGGAUGCUAAUGGCACUAAUGGAACCAAUGGCAAACUAGCAGAGGAAGACGACGAAGCCAAAAUGGCGCAAGUUGUUUGCUCCUUGAACAACCGGGAAGAGUGCCUGGCAUGCGGGAGUUAG